Molecule: long non-coding RNA, 633 nt
Filed under: Macaca mulatta (Rhesus monkey)
Lineage: Eukaryota; Metazoa; Chordata; Mammalia; Primates; Cercopithecidae
Description: lncRNA (ENSMMUG00000061879.1)
Source: RNAcentral
AACAUGGAGAUUGUUUCUUGGACCAAUGGCUGGUGUGAACUUCAUGGAAACAUUCGAUGAAGAGUCAGCCAAAGCAAGACAAAGGACAGGUGAUUAGCUGCUACUGCCUUUGAAUCCUGAAGUAGGCACCUUACAGAUACCCAAAUAAUCUUUUCAAAUGUCUGGCCUGAAUUAUUUUCAUUACUUUUCAUAAUAUAUCUGGGGUAGAAUUGUGGAGAUAAUAUUGUGGACAACCUGCCUAGAAGUCAUGUUCGACCCAAACACUCAACUUUACUUCUCUAAUGCCUCAUCCCAAGGCUCAGCACAGAUGGGAUUUUUCAAAUGAAAACCAGAUGAAAGUAAACAUCAAUCUCACCAUCGAAACUAAAGUAGAGUACCACUGAUCUAGAGGUCUGGUGAAAGCAGCAAGUAAUAGGAUGAAAACAAAAAGCAAGAGAACCAGAUAAGCAGUCAGAACUACAGUGUAUGAAAUAUUUUUUCCAUAUUUAUUUUAUUAAAAUAUCAGUUAUGUCUUCUAUAAUCUGACUCCAGCACUUUUUAAAGUGUCCAUCAGAUAGGAAGGGGUUGUAGAAAUUUUCCACAGGUGACAUCAGGGACUUCAGGACUUCCUCUGUAUAUCGAUGCCUGUAUAUA